This is a non-coding RNA of Paramisgurnus dabryanus, 1389 nucleotides long. The record is from RefSeq and is a predicted model, not a curated record. Lineage: Eukaryota; Metazoa; Chordata; Actinopteri; Cypriniformes; Cobitidae.
CGACGCACGUAUUUUGAUUUUUACCAGUCGUUCAAGGCGGACGGAUUCAGUCCCAAGAAGCUAAAGUUUUUCAAAGACCAGGACUUGUAGGGAGGACUUUGCAGCUAAUGGAGCUGAAGUAUUUUAUGUAAGGAGGAUUUUGCAGCCCAUAUAGGCAAGUCAUUAUAAUGAAAACUCUUAGGGGUGGUUUCCCGGACAGGGAUUAGCUUUAUCCAGGACUAGACCUUAGUUUAAUUAGGAUAGUUUUAACAAACAUGCCUUACUAAAAACAUUACUUAUGUGCAUAACGAUGUAAAACAAUGGGCACUGAUGUAUUUUAAGAUAUGUCAGAGCAAGUUGUUUUCAGUUUGGACAGCUCUUACAUUUAUUUUAGUCUAGGACUAGUCUAAUUCCUGUCUGGGAAACCGCCCCUUAAUAUAUAUGAUGACAUUUAAGUCAAGCUCUAGUUUAGGUAAAAAUAUAUCUGCUAUACAAUCUCUGCCAGUAAACUAUAGAUUUAAUACAGUAAGUCUUAAAUAAAUGUAAUGUUUUAAUAUUAAACACUUUUUAAUUGAGCUUAUUGUCUCUCUUUUUCAGAUUUCCUUAGGCUGAACCAAAACCUGCCAGACUAAAGUUGAUUUGGGAGAGAAAGACGUUGUAAACUCAAUCAUCUUGACAUUCUUCAAUGAGUAAUUGUUCAAUUUUUAGGCAAAUACUGUACACUUUGAAUGCUGUGAAUAAAACUAUAUUUUAAAUAUAUUUAAAAUGAAUUGUUUUUGACUGUUUUAAUCAGCUUUUAUUUAUUUGGAAAAAAUUAUUUUGGUUAUGUUACCAGCUAAAGUAAUCUAUUCCCAAAAUAGCACUCUUUAAGUUAACUAAUUAUUAACGCACUUGAAGUAUACUCAUUACUAAUCUAGCUGCAGGUAUGUAAAAGUAUACAAAAUGUAAUGUACUUGGCAUAUUCAUUUUUCACCAGGGCAGUUUUUAGAAUUUUGGAUUGGCCAAAAAUAUAUAGAAUGUACGCAAACAGUCUAUUUAAGAUAUACUGAUUGUAUGUUUGCAAGACACUCAUAAUACAUUUGUAAUGUACUCCUAACAUAAAUAAAACACACUCUAAAUCCACUUAUCAAGCAUGAAUUUAGCACAAAAACAGUCAUGUACUUAAAUUGUACUAAAUACACUUAAAGUUGUUCCACUUUAGCACACAAAAGUACACUAAAUACACUUAAAGUUGUACUUUGUUACAAUUAAUAUACAACUAAAAUAUAUUAAGUACAAAAUUAGUUGUUCCAAAAUAGCACUCUUUAAAUAAACUAAUCAAUAGCACACUUUAAGUAUACUGGUCAUUAGUGUGACUGCAAGUAUACUUAAGUAUAUCAAAAUUAAAUAUAUUUAGCAUACUAUUUUUUC